RNAcentral lists this ribosomal RNA (165 nucleotides) under uncultured bacterium. RNAcentral describes it as "partial 16S rRNA". It matches the Rfam family "Bacterial small subunit ribosomal RNA", at positions 355 to 511 of the family's 1533-position model. The record is from RNAcentral.
UAGGGAAUCUUCGGCAAUGGACGAAAGUCUGACCGAGCAACGCCGCGUGAGUGAAGAAGGUCUUCGGAUCGUAAAACUCUGUUGGUAGAGAAGAACGUUGGUGAGAGUGGAAAGCUCAUCAAGUGACGGUAACCACCCAGAAAGUCACGGCUAACUACGUGCCAC